AUUGAACGCUGGCGGCAUGCCUUACACAUGCAAGUCGAACGGCAGCGGGGGAGAAGCUUGCUUUUCCUGCCGGCGAGUGGCGAACGGGUGAGUAAUACAUCGGAACGUGCCCUGUAGUGGGGGAUAACUAGUCGAAAGAUUAGCUAAUACCGCAUACGACCUGAGGGUGAAAGUGGGGGACCGCAAGGCCUCAUGCUAUAGGAGCGGCCGAUGUCUGAUUAGCUAGUUGGUGGGGUAAAGGCCUACCAAGACGACGAUCAGUAGCUGGUCUGGGAGGACGAUCAGCCACACUGGGACUGGGACACGGCCCAGACUCCUACGGGAGGCGGCAGUGGGGAAUUUUGGACAAUGGGCGAAAGCCUGAUCCAGCAAUGCGGCGUGUGUGAAGAAGGCCUUCGGGUUGUAAAGCACUUUUGUCCGGAAAGAAAUGGCUCUGGUUAAUACCUGGGGUCGAUGACGGUACCGGAAGAAUAAGGACCGGCUAACUACGUGCCAGCAGCCGCCGCCG
This 508-nucleotide ribosomal RNA is filed under the name uncultured bacterium. RNAcentral's name for it is "partial 16S ribosomal RNA". It matches the Rfam family "Bacterial small subunit ribosomal RNA", at positions 30 to 523 of the family's 1533-position model. The record is from RNAcentral.